UACGAAGGGGGCUAGCGUUGCUCGGAAUGACUGGGCGUAAAGGGCGCGUAGGCGGAUGGCUUUGUCGGGCGUGAAAUUCCAGGGCUUAACCUUGGGGCUGCGUUCGAGACGGGUUGUCUUGAGUUCGGAAGAGGGUCGUGGAAUUCCCAGUGUAGAGGUGAAAUUCGUAGAUAUUGGGAAGAACACCGGUGGCGAAGGCGGCGACCUGGUCCGAGACUGACGCUGAGGCGCGAAAGCGUGGGGAG
RNAcentral lists this ribosomal RNA (245 nucleotides) under uncultured Acidicaldus sp. RNAcentral describes it as "partial 16S ribosomal RNA". It matches the Rfam family "Bacterial small subunit ribosomal RNA", at positions 524 to 768 of the family's 1533-position model. The record is from RNAcentral. Lineage: Bacteria; Pseudomonadati; Pseudomonadota; Alphaproteobacteria; Acetobacterales; Acetobacteraceae.